Acyrthosiphon pisum (pea aphid) is the source of this 581-nucleotide long non-coding RNA. RefSeq lists it as uncharacterized. NCBI's taxonomy places the organism in Eukaryota, Metazoa, Arthropoda, Insecta, Hemiptera, Aphididae. The record is from RefSeq and is a predicted model, not a curated record. The transcript is spliced from 3 exons.
CGGUCGGCGCUCGCGAAUUUUUAGUCCGUAGAUCGGAAAUCGUAAUCCCAGUAUAGUAUAAAUGUAUAAUAUUUUGUUCGAGACUUUUAUUUAAAAUGUUUAUUUCGUUUUUCAGUUACCUACCUUAUAAGAUCUACAGCUUAAAAAUAAUACGUCAUACGAUUUAAAUACAACGAACUUUAGUUUGGAACGUUCAAGUUUAGUACACCAACAUGGACGGCUCAUUCUAUUAUGAAUUUAUAAAUAUGAAUUCCUUCAAACAACAAAUUUGUGCGAUAAUAAUUCACUCCAAUUACACAGUGAUUUAGCAAGUAAUCCUAAUGGGUUAUUUUGGAUUACCUUACAAAGAAUAAUGUUUGAAUAAAAGUUGUCGAAAUAUGGUAGUAAUACUUUUUAUUCUGAAAUCAAGGGAUGAUACAUAUUUUGUUAAAGAUACCAUAAUGAUUCUCCCAAAGGGUGAACUGUAUACACAAUAUUUUAACACCAUUUGACCAAUAAUGACUAAUAUGAUACCAUGAACCAGCUUAAUAUUUUGAAGAUUGAAGCAUAUUUUCUUUUCCAAACAGAGUUUUUGUUGUUGA